RNAcentral lists this small RNA (488 nucleotides) under Pongo abelii (Sumatran orangutan). RNAcentral's name for it is "retained intron". The record is from RNAcentral. Lineage: Eukaryota; Metazoa; Chordata; Mammalia; Primates; Hominidae.
AUAGGUAGCUGCGGCGCCGACGCGGCGCUACCCCGGUCGGGCCAGAGGGUGAUGGGCAGCGACCCCCGGCGGCCUGGGAGAGCGUGGCAUCUUCCUUACUUUGUCCAUCCUCCGGACUCGCGAUCUUCCUUCCGGAGCCAUGUCAGAAGGAGUGGACUUGAUUGAUAUAUAUGCUGACGAGGAGUUCAACCAGGACCCAGAGUUCAACAAUACAGAUCAGAUUGACCUGUAUGAUGAUGUGCUGACAGCCACCUCACAGCCCUCAGAUGACAGAAGCAGCAGCACUGAGCCACCUCCUCCUGUUCGCCAGGAGCCAUCUCCCAAGCCCAACAACAAGACCCCUGCAAUUCUGUAUACCUACAGUGGCCUGCGUAAUAGACGAGCUGCCGUCUAUGUGGGCAGCUUCUCCUGGGUGAGUGUGGGUAACCAAAAAUGCUUAUGGGUGGGCUGGAGGGAGAGCACUGGGAGGUGAUGGCAUUUUCAGAAAC